CCUACGGGAGGCUGCAGUGGGGAAUAUUGGACAAUGGGGGGAACCCUGAUCCAGCCAUGCCGCGUGUGUGAAGAAGGCCCUCGGGUUGUAAAGCACUUUCAGUGAGGAAGAACGCCUGGUGGUUAAUACCCAUCAGGAAAGACAUCACUCACAGAAGAAGCACCGGCUAACUCCGUGCCAGCAGCCGCGGUAAUACGGAGGGUGCGAGCGUUAAUCGGAAUUACUGGGCGUAAAGCGCGCGUAGGUGGCUUGAUAAGCCGGUUGUGAAAGCCCCGGGCUCAACCUGGGAACGGCAUCCGGAACUGUCAAGCUAGAGUGCAGGAGAGGAAGGUAGAAUUCCCGGUGUAGCGGUGAAAUGCGUAGAGAUCGGGAGGAAUACCAGUGGCGAAGGCGGCCUUCUGGACUGACACUGACACUGAGGUGCGAAAGCGUGGGUAGCAAACAGGAUUAGAUAUCCUGGUAGUC
This 465-nucleotide ribosomal RNA is filed under the name Vreelandella stevensii. RNAcentral describes it as "partial 16S ribosomal RNA". It matches the Rfam family "Bacterial small subunit ribosomal RNA", at positions 338 to 795 of the family's 1533-position model. The record is from RNAcentral. Lineage: Bacteria; Pseudomonadati; Pseudomonadota; Gammaproteobacteria; Oceanospirillales; Halomonadaceae.